GGCGAACGGGUGAGUAACACGUGAGUAACCUGCCCUUGACUUUGGGAUAACUUCAGGAAACUGGAGCUAAUACCGGAUAGGAGCUCCUGCUGCAUGGUGGGGGUUGGAAAGUUUCGGCGGUUGGGGAUGGACUCGCGGCUUAUCAGCUUGUUGGUGGGGUAGUGGCUUACCAAGGCUUUGACGGGUAGCCGGCCUGAGAGGGUGACCGGCCACAUUGGGACUGAGAUAUGGCCCAG
Molecule: ribosomal RNA, 236 nt
Filed under: uncultured Actinomycetales bacterium
Lineage: Bacteria; Bacillati; Actinomycetota; Actinomycetes; Actinomycetales
Description: partial 16S ribosomal RNA
Rfam family: Bacterial small subunit ribosomal RNA
Source: RNAcentral